RNAcentral lists this ribosomal RNA (482 nucleotides) under uncultured bacterium. Its description in RNAcentral is "partial 16S ribosomal RNA". It matches the Rfam family "Bacterial small subunit ribosomal RNA", at positions 36 to 507 of the family's 1533-position model. The record is from RNAcentral.
CUUUCCCUCUGGCGGCAUGCCUUACACAUGCAAGUCGAACGGUAACGGGCCUUCGGGUGCCGACGAGUGGCGAACGGGUGAGUAAUACAUCGGAACGUGCCCGAUCGUGGGGGAUAACGAGGCGAAAGCUUUGCUAAUACCGCAUACGAUCUACGGAUGACAGCAGGGGACCGCAAGGCCUUGCGCGGACGGAGCGGCCGAUGGCAGAUUAGGUAGUUGGUGGGAUAAAAGCUUACCAAGCCGACGAUCUGUAGCUGGUCUGAGAGGAUGAUCAGCCACACUGGGACUGAGACACGGCCCAGACUCCUACGGGAGGCAGCAGUGGGGAAUUUUGGACAAUGGGCGCAAGCCUGAUCCAGCCAUGCCGCGUGCAGGAUGAAGGCCUUCGGGUUGUAAACUGCUUUUGUACGGAACGAAAAGCCUUCUUUUAAUACAGGAGGGUCAUGACGGUACCGUAAGAAUAAGCACCGGCUAACUACGUG